Salvator merianae (Argentine black and white tegu) is the source of this 130-nucleotide small nuclear RNA. The record is from Ensembl. NCBI's taxonomy places the organism in Eukaryota, Metazoa, Chordata, Lepidosauria, Squamata, Teiidae.
AUGUUGUAUGAAAGGAGAGAAGGUUAGCACUCCCCUUGAUAAGGAUGGAAGAGGCCCUGCGGCCUGUACAACACACAUAUGGUUAAGGCAUUGCCGCUUACUUCAGAGUGGCAUCUAACAACGAAAAAAA